Molecule: ribosomal RNA, 492 nt
Filed under: uncultured bacterium
Lineage: Bacteria
Description: partial 16S ribosomal RNA
Rfam family: Bacterial small subunit ribosomal RNA
Source: RNAcentral
AUUGAACGCUGGCGGCAUGCUUUACACAUGCAAGUCGAACGGUAACAGGCCUUCGGGUGCUGACGAGUGGCGAACGGGCGAGUAAUGCACCGGAACGUACCCAGAGGUGGGGGAUAACGCAGCGAAAGCUGUGCUAAUACCGCAUGUGAUCUGAGGAUGAAAGCGGGGGACCGAGCAGGAAUGUUUGGCCUCGCGCCUUUGGAGCGGCCGAUGUUGGAUUAGCUAGUUGGUGGGGUAAAGGCCUACGAAGGCGACGAUCCGUAGCCGGUCUGAGAGGACGGCCAGCCACACUGGGACUGAGACACGGCCCAGACUCCUACGGGAGGCAGCAGUGGGGAAUUGUGGACAAUGGGCGCAAGCCUGAUCCAGCAAUGCCGCGUGCGAGAAGAAGGCCUUCGGGUUGUAAACCGCUUUUGGCAGGAACGAAACGGUGUCCGCUAAUACCGAGCGCUAGUGACGGUACCUGCAGAAUAAGCACCGGCUAACUACGUG